Molecule: ribosomal RNA, 593 nt
Filed under: Cyanothece sp. CE4
Lineage: Bacteria; Bacillati; Cyanobacteriota; Cyanophyceae; Gomontiellales; Cyanothecaceae
Description: bacterial SSU rRNA
Rfam family: Bacterial small subunit ribosomal RNA
Source: RNAcentral
CCGUUGGAAACGACAGCUAAUCCCCAAUAAGCCGAAAGGUGAAACGGGAUUCCGCUAGAAGAGGAGCUCGCGUCCGAUUAGUUAGUUGGUGGGGUAAAAGCCUACCAAAGCGUCGAUCGGUAGCUGGUCUGAGAGGAUGAGCAGCCACACUGGGACUGAGACACGGCCCAGACUCCUACGGGAGGCAGCAGUGGGGAAUUUUCCGCAAUGGGCGCAAGCCUGACGGAGCAACGCCGCGUGUGGGAAGAAGGCUCUUGGGCUGUCAACCACUUUUCUCAGGGAAGAAUUACUGACGGUACCUGAGGAAUCAGCCUCGGCUAACUCCGUGCCAGCAGCCGCGGUAAUACGGAGGAGGCAAGCGUUAUCCGGAAUUAUUGGGCGUAAAGCGUCCGCAGGGGGCGCAUCAAGUCUGCUGUCAAAGGUCGGAGCUUAACUCCGGUGUGGCAGUGGAAACGGGUGCGCUAGAGGGCGACAGGGGUAGAGGGAAUUCCCAGUGUAGCGGUGAAAUGCGUAGAGAUUGGGAAGAACACCGGUGGCGAAAGCGCUCUACUGGGUCGCACCUGACCCUCAGGGACGAAAGCUAAGGUAGCGAA